This is a non-coding RNA of Schizosaccharomyces pombe (fission yeast), 394 nucleotides long. The record is from the annotation of a GenBank genome assembly. Lineage: Eukaryota; Fungi; Ascomycota; Schizosaccharomycetes; Schizosaccharomycetales; Schizosaccharomycetaceae.
GUGAUAUCAAGUUUUGCUUUUUCUUAUUGAAAGUGUUAAGGUACGUUGGCAUAGGCUCGUUAAAAACGAAUGUUUGGGGUUCAGAUAUGUUAUCCAUGCAUUAAAUUUUCAGAGAUAAGUCAAGCAAAAGAACUGCAAAUUUAGCCGCCAUCAAUGUUUUACUAAUUGCGGUAGUAACAGUUUGGUUUAGUGAUGGAAAUAGCAUAGGUAGCAUAAUAACAUAAGUCGCAGUAGCUCAGCUGUGUUAUUGUUUACAUUACUUGGUUGCGAAUUUUUGGCAUCAUUUAUUGUUUGCGGGCUUUUUUCCUUCAAAAUUAGAUUGCUCGUAAUCUCUUGACGAUGGGAUUUUAUGAUUUACCUCUCUCAUUACUAAUUUGAUUUAAUCCUACAACGC